AAACUUAAAUGAAUUGACGGGGGCCCGCACAAGCGGUGGAGCAUGUGGUUUAAUUCGAUGCAACGCGAAGAACCUUACCUACUCUUGACAUCCAGAGAACUUUCCAGAGAUGGAUUGGUGCCUUCGGGAACUCUGAGACAGGUGCUGCAUGGCUGCCGUCAGCUCGUGUUGUGAAAUGUUGGGUUAAGUCCCGCAACGAGCGCAACCCUUAUCCUUUGUUGCCAGCGGUUCGGCCGGGAACUCAAAGGAGACUGCCAGUGAUAAACUGGAGGAAGGUGGGGAUGACGUCAUCUCGGCAUGGCCCAUACGAG
This 311-nucleotide ribosomal RNA is filed under the name Serratia marcescens. Its description in RNAcentral is "bacterial SSU rRNA". It matches the Rfam family "Bacterial small subunit ribosomal RNA", at positions 897 to 1208 of the family's 1533-position model. Lineage: Bacteria; Pseudomonadati; Pseudomonadota; Gammaproteobacteria; Enterobacterales; Yersiniaceae. The record is from RNAcentral.